CAUGGUCCUGGCGGUUUCCGUAGUUGUAGUAUCAGUAGAUGACAGGAGCUUGCUCCUUGAUUCAGCGGCGGACGGGUGAGUAAUGCCUAGGAAUCUGCCUGGUAGUGGGGGACAACGUUCCGAAAGGGGCGCUAAUACCGCAUACGUCCUACGGGAGAAAGUGGGGGAUCUUCGGACCUCACGCUAUCAGAUGAGCCUAGGUCGGAUUAGCUAGUUGGUGAGGUAAUGGCUCACCAAGGCGACGAUCCGUAACUGGUCUGAGAGGAUGAUCAGUCACACUGGAACUGAGACACGGUCCAGACUCCUACGGGAGGCAGCAGUGGGGAAUAUUGGACAAUGGGCGAAAGCCUGAUCCAGCCAUGCCGCGUGUGUGAAGAAGGUCUUCGGAUUGUAAAGCACUUUAAGUUGGGAGGAAGGGCAGUAAGUUAAUACCUUGCUGUUUUGACGUUACCGACAGAAUAAGCACCGGCUAACUCUGUGCCAGCAGCCGCGGUAAUACAGAGGGUGCAAGCGUUAAUCGGAAUUACUGGGCGUAAAGCGCGCGUAGGUGGUUCGUUAAGUUGGAUGUGAAAGCCCCGGGCUCACCUGGGAACUGCAUCCAAAACUGGCGAGCUAAGUAUGGUAAGGGUGGUGGAAUUUCCUGUGUACGGUGAAAUGCGUAAAAUAGGAAGGACACCUGGGGAAGGGACCCCUGGACUGAUACUGACCUGAGGGGCAAAGCGUGGGAACA
Molecule: ribosomal RNA, 730 nt
Filed under: Pseudomonas sp. M(2010)
Lineage: Bacteria; Pseudomonadati; Pseudomonadota; Gammaproteobacteria; Pseudomonadales; Pseudomonadaceae
Description: bacterial SSU rRNA
Rfam family: Bacterial small subunit ribosomal RNA
Source: RNAcentral